CAAAACCAGUUGUCACACCACCACCACUUCGAUCAUUGCGGCGCGUGUCCUGGUUGACAAGGAUAUUCUUUCGGAGAAGGGCUCAUCAGAGCUUUUGGAGCCGGGAGCAUCGCAGUUACAGCACUCGUCAACGAGGAAACGCGCCGGUAAGGAAUUGAAAUUUCCGUUCCAAGAUCACAGCAGAUCGUUCCAGUUGUUUAUUUUUAGCAAAAAUCAUCAAGCAAGAGGAAAAUGGUCAGAGGAGCGAAGCUAUCCUUGUUAACCGGAUUGUUAGAGUGGCCUGGUUACCAUUUAUAAGGACACUUGAGCACCCCUCGAAGCGGCUGGAAGCAAUAUUGGAAAACCUUUUUUCUGAUGGCAGCAUUCAGCGGUCUUCGGCUUUCCUCGUCCGAACCGUACAUCACCUCCUCGUCCGAGUCGUUGAUCAUCGAGAAGGUCGGGUUGUCCUUGGCAAUCACGG
Molecule: long non-coding RNA, 460 nt
Organism: Anopheles aquasalis
Lineage: Eukaryota; Metazoa; Arthropoda; Insecta; Diptera; Culicidae
Source: RefSeq, a predicted model, not a curated record